GGGAGGUAGUGAAAAAAAUAGACAAUACGGGACUCGUCCGAGGCCUCGUAAUUGGAAUGAGUACAAUCUAAAUCCCUUAACGAGGAUCUAUUGGAGGGCAAGUCUGGUGCCAGCAGCCGCGGUAAUUCCAGCUCCAAUAGCGUAUAUUAAAGUUGUUGCGGUUAAAAAGCUCGUAGUUGAAUCUCAGUUCUGGACGUGCACGGGUCCGCCAACACACUGGUGGACUGCUGACAUGCCUGGAGCAAAACCGCCCGGCUUGUCCCACGGUGCUCUUGACCGAGUGUUGUGGGUGGCCGACACGUUUACUUUGAGAAAACCAGAGUGCUUAAAGCAGGCGCAAGACGCCCGAAUGACUGUGCAUGGAAUAAUGGAAAAGGAUCUCGCUUCUGUCUUUGUUGGUUCUUCGGAAGGCGAGAUAAUGAUUAAUAGGGACAGACGGGGGCAUUCGUAUUGCGACGUUAGAGGUGAAAUUCUUGGAUCGUCGCACGACGAACUACUGCGAAAGCAUUUGCCAAGAAUGUUUUCGUUAAUCAAGAACGAAAGUUAGAGGUUCGAAGGCGAUCAGAUACCGCCCUAGUUCUAACCAUAAACGAUGCCAACUGGCGAUCCGCCCCAGUUAAAUGCACGACUGGGCGGGCAGCCUCCGGGAAACCAAAGUCUUUGGGUUCCGGGGGAAGUAUGGUUGCAAAGCUGAAACUUAAAGGAAUUGACGGAAGGGCACCACCAGGAGUGGAGCCUGCGGCUUAAUUUGACUCAACACGGGAAACCUCACCAGGCCCGGACACCAAAAGGAUUGACAGAUUGAGAGCUCUUUCUUGAUUUGGUGGGUGGUGGUGCAUGGCCGUUCUUAGUUGGUGGAGCGAUUUGUCUGGUUAAUUCCGAUAACGAACGAGACUCUAGCCUGCUAACUAGCCGGUGGAUCACUUUUUUUCAUGCGGCGAACUAGCUCCAUUCCUCCGGGUUUGGACUGGAUAGCUGCGUCCAUUGCGUCUUCUUAGAGGGACAGGCGGCUCAUAGCCGCACGAGACGGAGCAAUAACAGGUCUGUGAUGCCCUUAGAUGUCCUGGGCCGCACGCGCGCUACACUGGAGGAAUCAGCGUGCACUCCCUGCCCGAGAGGGCCGGGUAACCCGCUGAAAUUCCUUCGUGAUUGGGAUCGGGGUUUGCAACUAUCCCCCGUGAACGAGGAAUUCCCAGUAAGCGUGAGUCAUGAGCUCGCGUUGAUUACGUCCCUGCCCUUUGUACACACCGCCCGUCGCUACUACCGAUUGAAUGAUUUAGUGAGGCCUUUGGACUGGCUCGCCGGUGCGCGUCAUCUUUCGGGUUGGCGUCGUAACUGGUUGAUUCGGGCCCG
This 1353-nucleotide ribosomal RNA is filed under the name Gigantocypris agassizii. RNAcentral describes it as "SSU rRNA". It matches the Rfam family "Eukaryotic small subunit ribosomal RNA", at positions 459 to 1778 of the family's 1831-position model. Lineage: Eukaryota; Metazoa; Arthropoda; Ostracoda; Myodocopida; Cypridinidae. The record is from RNAcentral.